GGCAGUUUGGUUCAGUGGUAGAAUUCUCACCUUCUGUGUGGGAGACCUGGGUUCGAUUCUCAGCCA
Molecule: transfer RNA, 66 nt
Filed under: Loxodonta africana (African savanna elephant)
Lineage: Eukaryota; Metazoa; Chordata; Mammalia; Proboscidea; Elephantidae
Rfam family: tRNA
About the family: Transfer RNA (tRNA) molecules are approximately 80 nucleotides in length.
Source: Rfam by way of RNAcentral